UCAUGAUGUCCGGAACCCGGGCAGUGGAAGGUGAUGAGGACUCCAAAGGUUGGGCUGAGAGAUGUCCCCGCCCCGCCCCACCAGCUGAGACACAAGGUGCUUUCACUAGAGGCCUCGGGAUCCAGCCGGCUUUCUCCCGGUGGAAUGAGAGCAGAAAUGGGGCCUAAAAUGGUGGUUCAAAGCCUUCGAGAUCCCUUGGACCAGCUGCAUUUCUCCUCAAAUUAUAGAACCAACAACACUAAAUAGACAUCUUUUUAAUUUUG
This is a long non-coding RNA of Balaenoptera musculus (blue whale), 263 nucleotides long. RefSeq lists it as uncharacterized. The transcript is spliced from 2 exons. NCBI's taxonomy places the organism in Eukaryota, Metazoa, Chordata, Mammalia, Artiodactyla, Balaenopteridae. The record is from RefSeq and is a predicted model, not a curated record.